UUAUUUUAGCAUGGAAUAAUGGAAUAGGACGUCGCGGUUCUAUUUUGUUGGUUUCUAGGACCGCCGUAAUGAUUAAUAGGGACAGUCGGGGGCAUCAGUAUUCAAUCGUCAGAGGUGAAAUUCUUGGAUCGAUUGAAGACUAACUACUGCGAAAGCAUUUGCCAAGGAUGUUUUCAUUAAUCAGGAACGAAAGUUAGGGGAUCGAAAACGAUCAGAUACCGUUGUAGUCUUAACCAUAAACUAUGCCGACUAGGGAUCGGGCGGUGUUAUUUCUUGACCCGCUCGGCACCUUACACGAAAGUAAAGUUUUUGGGUUCUGGGGGGAGUAUGGUCGCAAGGCUGAAACUUAAAGAAAUUGACGGAAGGGCACCACAAGGGGUGGAGCGUGCGGCUUAAUUUGACUCAACACGGGGAAACUCACCAGGUCCAGACCCAACUAGGAUUGACAGAUUGAGAGCUCUUUCUUGAUUUUGUGGGUGGUGGUGCAUGGCCGUUCUUAGUUGGUGGAGUGAUUNGUCUGCUUAAUUGCGAUAACGAACGAGACCUUAACCUGCUAAAUAGCCCGUGCCGCUUCGGCGGCACGCCGGCUUCUUAGAGGGACAAUCGGCUCAAGCCGAUGGAAGUUUGAGGCAAUAACAGGUCUGUGAUGCCAUUAGAUGUUCUGGGCCGCACGCGCGCUCCACUGACAGAGCCAGCGAGUUCCUACCCUUUGGGCCCCCGGU
RNAcentral lists this ribosomal RNA (722 nucleotides) under Phomopsis sp. RNAcentral's name for it is "SSU rRNA". It matches the Rfam family "Eukaryotic small subunit ribosomal RNA", at positions 799 to 1543 of the family's 1831-position model. The record is from RNAcentral. Lineage: Eukaryota; Fungi; Ascomycota; Sordariomycetes; Diaporthales; Diaporthaceae.